GCCGCGUGAGCGAUGAAGGUCUUCGGAUUGUAAAGCUCUGUUGUUAGGGAAGAACAAGUACAAGAGUAACUGCUUGUACCUUGACGGUACCUAACCAGAAAGCCACGGCUAACUACGUGCCAGCAGCCGCGGUAAUACGUAGGUGGCAAGCGUUGUCCGGAAUUAUUGGGCGUAAAGCGCGCGCAGGCGGCCUUUUAAGUCUGAUGUGAAAGUCUACGGCUUAACCGUAGAAGGCCAUUGGAAACUGGAGGGCUUGAGUGCAGAAGAGGAGAGUGGAAUUCCAUGUGUAGCGGUGAAAUGCGUAGAGAUAUGGAGGAACACCAGUGGCGAAGGCGACUCUCUGGUCUGCAACUGACGCUGAGGCGCGAAAGCGUGGGUAGCGAACAGGAUUAGAUACCCUGGUAGUCCACGCCGUAAACGAUGAGUGCUAGGUGUUAGGGGGUUUCCGCCCCUUAGUGCUGAAGUUAACGCAUUAAGCACUCCGCCUGGGGAGUACGGCCGCAAGGCUGAAACUCAAAAGAAUUGACGGGGGCCCGCACAAGCGGUGGAGCAUGUGGUUUAAUUCGAAGCAACGCGAAGAACCUUACCAGGUCUUGACAUCCUCUGACACCCCUAGAGAUAGGGCUUUCCCUUCGGGGACAGAGUGACAGGUGGUGCAUGGUUGUCGUCAGCUCGUGUCGUGAGAUGUUGGGUUAAGUCCCGCAACGAGCGCAACCCUUGAU
This 722-nucleotide ribosomal RNA is filed under the name uncultured Ornithinibacillus sp. RNAcentral describes it as "bacterial SSU rRNA". It matches the Rfam family "Bacterial small subunit ribosomal RNA", at positions 396 to 1109 of the family's 1533-position model. Lineage: Bacteria; Bacillati; Bacillota; Bacilli; Caryophanales; Bacillaceae. The record is from RNAcentral.